Carcharodon carcharias (great white shark) is the source of this 119-nucleotide small nucleolar RNA. NCBI's taxonomy places the organism in Eukaryota, Metazoa, Chordata, Chondrichthyes, Lamniformes, Lamnidae. The record is from RefSeq and is a predicted model, not a curated record.
UCCCAAAGUGUUGAGUUUAGUACAGGUUAUGUUCCUCCUGUGCUGGUAAUUAAACUUUGGAAAAAUGAAAAGCAAUGGGGUUAUUACCCUUGGUGGCAAUGUGUACCCCCACCAGGAAA